UGCCUCUCCACAGGUUUUGAUAAAUCUCCCCCUAUGUGAUCACUUGGAACAGGGACCAGCAAAUUUUGGUACGCUUCAAUUGUAUAUGUACAUGGUCUACAGAAGGUUGGAGAAUGUUGGUGAGGCACAUCCUGAAGAACUUUGCAAAAAUGUGAAUGCCAUGAGUGACCCUCAUGAUGAGCCAUGGUGGCCAUAGGAAGAAGCAACACUGACAAGGUGGGAAGGACCUUGAUUUGCUAUGCAUCUCCACGAGUCAUUGUAGUCACCAAGGAUGUGUCCAUGACAUGAAUGAAGUAGACACUGCAUAAAAUGGGACCAAGUCAACAUAUUCAAACAAGACCAUCUAUGCUAUCAAUUCUACCCAAUUGCAUAGGCUCAUGGUCUUCAGGUGAUUGGAAAAUGUUGGUGGAACACAUUCUGAAGAACUGUGCAAGAAUGUGAAAGCCAUAAGUGACCCUCAUGAGGAGCCUUGGUGCCCAUAGGAAGGAGCAACACUGACAAGUGGCCGCCAAGAGAACUUGGAACAACGUGAUGGUGAAAAUUGUGUUAUGCAACAACAAAAAACAACUUUAUUUAUCUUGUUAUUUUUUUU
Molecule: long non-coding RNA, 592 nt
Organism: Hyla sarda
Lineage: Eukaryota; Metazoa; Chordata; Amphibia; Anura; Hylidae
Exons: 3
Source: RefSeq, a predicted model, not a curated record